CCUACGGGGGGCAGCAGUGGGGAAUAUUGGACAAUGGGGGGAACCCUGAUCCAGCCAUGCCGCGUGUGUGAAGAAGGCCCUCGGGUUGUAAAGCACUUUCAGUGAGGAAGAACGCCUGGUGGUUAAUACCCAUCAGGAAAGACAUCACUCACAGAAGAAGCACCGGCUAACUCCGUGCCAGCAGCCGCGGUAAUACGGAGGGUGCGAGCGUUAAUCGGAAUUACUGGGCGUAAAGCGCGCGUAGGUGGCUUGAUAAGCCGGUUGUGAAAGCCCCGGGCUCAACCUGGGAACGGCAUCCGGAACUGUCAAGCUAGAGUGCAGGAGAGGAAGGUAGAAUUCCCGGUGUAGCGGUGAAAUGCGUAGAGAUCGGGAGGAACACCAGUGGCGAAGGCGGCCUUCUGGACUGACACUGACACUGAGGUGCGAAAGCGUGGGUAGCAAACAGGAUUAGAUACCCCAGUAGUC
This 465-nucleotide ribosomal RNA is filed under the name Vreelandella stevensii. RNAcentral's name for it is "partial 16S ribosomal RNA". It matches the Rfam family "Bacterial small subunit ribosomal RNA", at positions 338 to 795 of the family's 1533-position model. The record is from RNAcentral. Lineage: Bacteria; Pseudomonadati; Pseudomonadota; Gammaproteobacteria; Oceanospirillales; Halomonadaceae.